CUCCUUACGAGGGAAAGUUUUUCGCUAUGAGAUCAGCCUAUGUCCUAUCAGCUUGUUGGUGAGGUAAUGGCUCACCAAGGCUAUGACGGGUAUCCGGCCUGAGAGGGUGAACGGACACACUGGAACUGAGACACGGUCCAGACUCCUACGGGAGGCAGCAGUAGGGAAUAUUGCUCAAUGGGGGAAACCCUGAAGCAGCAACGCCGCGUGGAGGAUGAAGGUUUUCGGAUUGUAAACUCCUUUUCUAAGAGAAGAUUAUGACGGUAUCUUAGGAAUAAGCACCGGCUAACUCCGUGCCAGCAGCCGCGGUAAUACGGAGGGUGCAAGCGUUACUCGGAAUCACUGGGCGUAAAGAGCGCGUAGGCGGGAUAGCAAGUCAGAUGUGAAAUCCUAUGGCUUAACCAUAGAACUGCAUUUGAAACUGUUAUUCUAGAGUAUGGGAGAGGUAGGUGGAAUUCUUGGUGUAGGGGUAAAAUCCGUAGAGAUCAAGAGGAAUACUCAUUGCGAAGGCGACCUGCUGGAACAUAACUGACGCUGAUGCGCGAAAGCGUGGGGAGCAAACAGGAUUAGAUACCCUGGUAGUCCACGCCCUAAACGAUGAAUGCUAGUUGUUGCGAGGCUUGUCCUUGCAGUAAUGCAGCUAACGCAUUAAGCAUUCCGCCUGGGGAGUACGGUCGCAAGAUUAAAACUCAAAGGAAUAGACGGGGACCCGCACAAGCGGUGGAGCAUGUGGUUUAAUUCGAAGAUACACGAAGAACCUUACCUAGGCUUGACAUUGAUAGAAUCCUAUAGAGAUAUGGGAGUGCCCUUUUAGGGAGCUUGAAAACAGGUGCUGCACGGCUGUCGUCAGCUCGUGUCGUGAGAUGUUGGGUUAAGUCCCGCAACGAGCGCAACCCUCGUCCUUAGUUGCUAACUAUUCGGUAGAGCACUCUAAGGAGACUGCCUUCGCAAGGAGGAGGAAGGUGAGGAUGACGUCAAGUCAUCAUGGCCCUUACGCCUAGGGCUACACACGUGCUACAAUGGGAAGCACAAAGAGAUGCAAUAUUGUGAAAUGGAGCAAAUCUCAAAAACUUCUCUCAGUUCGGAUUGUAGUCUGCAACUCGACUACAUGAAGCUGGAAUCGCUAGUAAUCGUAGAUCAGCUAUGCUACGGUGAAU
This 1157-nucleotide ribosomal RNA is filed under the name Helicobacter sp. B1135/02. RNAcentral describes it as "bacterial SSU rRNA". It matches the Rfam family "Bacterial small subunit ribosomal RNA", at positions 194 to 1367 of the family's 1533-position model. The record is from RNAcentral. Lineage: Bacteria; Pseudomonadati; Campylobacterota; Epsilonproteobacteria; Campylobacterales; Helicobacteraceae.